Molecule: ribosomal RNA, 158 nt
Filed under: Melampodium perfoliatum
Lineage: Eukaryota; Viridiplantae; Streptophyta; Magnoliopsida; Asterales; Asteraceae
Description: 5.8S ribosomal RNA
Rfam family: 5.8S ribosomal RNA
About the family: 5.8S ribosomal RNA (5.8S rRNA) is a component of the large subunit of the eukaryotic ribosome.
Source: RNAcentral
CGACUCUCGGCAACGGAUAUCUCGGCUCACGCAUCGAUGAAGAACGUAGCAAAAUGCGAUACUUGGUGUGAAUUGCAGAAUCCCGUGAACCAUCGAGUUUUUGAACGCAAGUUGCGCCCGAAGCCUCAGGUUGAGGGCACGUCUGCCUGGGCGUCACG